UCUCCGUAGGUGAACCUGCGGAAGGAUCAUUCAUAAUAAAGUGUUUUAUGGCACUUUUUAAAAAUCCAUAUCCACCUUGUGUGCAAUGUUAGAUCUCGUCAAUCUUGGCUAGAUUUUUAUACAUCAACUCAUUCUUUAACUAAUUUGUCUGAAAAAUAUUAUGAAUACUUAAUUCAAAAUACAACUUUCAACAACGGAUCUCUUGGCUCUC
This 211-nucleotide unclassified non-coding RNA is filed under the name plant metagenome. Its description in RNAcentral is "partial contains small subunit ribosomal RNA, internal transcribed spacer 1, and 5.8S ribosomal RNA". The record is from RNAcentral.